GGAUUAGAUACCCUGGUAGUCCACGCCGUAAACGAUGAGAACUAGGUGCAGCGGAUAUUGACCUCUGCUGUGCCGUAGCUAACGCGUUAAGUUCUCCGCCUGGGGAGUACGGCCGCAAGGCUAAAACUCAAAGGAAUUGACGGGGGCCCGCACAAGCAGUGGAGCAUGUGGUUUAAUUCGAAGCAACGCGCAGAACCUUACCAGGGCUAGAAAAACGGAGAAUCCUGACGAAACUCGGGAGUGCUCGCAAGAGAACUCCGGUCCAGGUGCUGCAUGGCUGUCGUCAGCUCGUGCCG
Molecule: ribosomal RNA, 296 nt
Filed under: uncultured bacterium
Lineage: Bacteria
Description: partial 16S ribosomal RNA
Rfam family: Bacterial small subunit ribosomal RNA
Source: RNAcentral